RNAcentral lists this ribosomal RNA (549 nucleotides) under Microbacteriaceae bacterium. RNAcentral describes it as "bacterial SSU rRNA". It matches the Rfam family "Bacterial small subunit ribosomal RNA", at positions 242 to 803 of the family's 1533-position model. Lineage: Bacteria; Bacillati; Actinomycetota; Actinomycetes; Micrococcales; Microbacteriaceae. The record is from RNAcentral.
CAGCUUGUUGGUGAGGUAAUGGCUCACCAAGGCGACGACGGGUAGCCGGCCUGAGAGGGUGACCGGCCACACUGGGACUGAGACACGGCCCAGACUCCUACGGGAGGCAGCAGUGGGGAAUAUUGCACAAUGGGCGAAAGCCUGAUGCAGCAACGCCGCGUGAGGGAUGACGGCCUUCGGGUUGUAAACCUCUUUUAGUAGGGAAGAAGCGAAAGUGACGGUACCUGCAGAAAAAGCACCGGCUAACUACGUGCCAGCAGCCGCGGUAAUACGUAGGGUGCAAGCGUUGUCCGGAAUUAUUGGGCGUAAAGAGCUCGUAGGCGGUUUGUCGCGUCUGCUGUGAAAUCCCGAGGCUCAACCUCGGGCUUGCAGUGGGUACGGGCAGACUAGAGUGCGGUAGGGGAGAUUGGAAUUCCUGGUGUAGCGGUGGAAUGCGCAGAUAUCAGGAGGAACACCGAUGGCGAAGGCAGAUCUCUGGGCCGUAACUGACGCUGAGGAGCGAAAGCAUGGGGAGCGAACAGGAUUAGAUACCCUGGUAGUCCAUGCCGU